Molecule: long non-coding RNA, 840 nt
Organism: Candoia aspera
Lineage: Eukaryota; Metazoa; Chordata; Lepidosauria; Squamata; Candoiidae
Exons: 2
Source: RefSeq, a predicted model, not a curated record
GAGGCCAGAUCAGGAAGCUGGAACCAGAUGUUGGAGAAACCUGGAAGAGACUCAUAAGUGCAUGCACAAGUUUGGAGACCUAACCACAGAGCAUAAUGUGAUGUGUGCACCUACCCAACCGAGUGCAAGGGUUGAAAGAAAUUGAAGGACAACCAUUUCCAGUGCUUGCCUGCUUUCCUCCAGGAGCUUCAGGAAUACAUGGGAUGUACCAGGAGUAUAUUGUUUUUCAAAGACUCUGGUAUCCUUUAGGGAUUGUGCCCACUGCUAUGUCUGCUUCUAAAACAACAUUAUAUGUGAAGGAUUUCACAUAACAUGCAGUCUGGCUCUUAGGUAUAUCAGGAAAAAGUUGGUUUUGAUGGAUAUCUAUUGGCUAGAGUUUACAACAUCAACAAUUUACUCAAUCUCUAAUCCCCAACACAUUUUUAACAAAUGUUUGAAAAAAAAUUGACAUAGAGCCUUGACAGCCCCUUAAAUGCUAACAUAUUUUGUAAGUUUUCAUGGUCUACAAUCUACUUCAUCAGAUUGAGUGUUUGUAGAUAUUUACUCAGAACUAAAGUAUAAUCAGAUGUGAUGGUUUAAAAAAGAAAGAUUUUGCUUUGGCACUUUGAACCCUUUUGUCAAAGGAGGAAAUUAUCUAAAAAGCACACUGUGCCAGAAAAUUAAGUUCCUUGAUAUAAUCAAUAUAUUUACUGUGAAUGGUAGGAUGGAUGAGCCAGUCUCUUUCUGGUCUGUGUUAGUUUUACAUGCAUUAAUUUAAAUGUCUAUUCUGUCCCAUUUCUGUUUCAACUUGUAAUUUUUAUUUUACAAUCACCAAAUAAAAAUUCACAUUAUUUUUGUAUA